CCGCGGUAAUACGGAGGGAGCUAGCGUUGUUCGGAAUUACUGGGCGUAAAGCGCGCGUAGGCGGUUUUUUAAGUCAGAGGUGAAAGCCCGGGGCUCAACCCCGGAAUAGCCUUUGAAACUGGAAAACUUGAAUCUUGGAGAGGUCAGUGGAAUUCCGAGUGUAGAGGUGAAAUUCGUAGAUAUUCGGAAGAACACCAGUGGCGAAGGCGACUGACUGGACAAGUAUU
RNAcentral lists this ribosomal RNA (227 nucleotides) under Sphingopyxis italica. RNAcentral describes it as "partial 16S ribosomal RNA". It matches the Rfam family "Bacterial small subunit ribosomal RNA", at positions 515 to 741 of the family's 1533-position model. Lineage: Bacteria; Pseudomonadati; Pseudomonadota; Alphaproteobacteria; Sphingomonadales; Sphingopyxidaceae. The record is from RNAcentral.